Molecule: unclassified non-coding RNA, 316 nt
Filed under: Hevea brasiliensis (rubber tree)
Lineage: Eukaryota; Viridiplantae; Streptophyta; Magnoliopsida; Malpighiales; Euphorbiaceae
Source: RNAcentral
GAGAGAGAGAGAGAGAGAGGCAAUGGGCCGAAAAUACUCUGGACGGCAUUAAUCAUGUUUGGUGGGCCACCGUCUCAGGUUCAUUGCCAAGUGGUUGCGCGUGGGCUCCACGCUUCCGAGUUGCAAUAUUAAUGUUCAAAGUGAAAGUAAGGCUGCCGUGUCGAUUCUUAAGUAUGAAAUGUUUGACAACUUUUUAUCUGAUUUAUAAAGUAAAUUUACAUUUAGAAAUGAUAUAUAGCAAUGUGAAUAAAAAAAAAAAUCUCAAUAGAGAGAGAAUUUUCUUCAAUCUGUUUCUUUAGAGUUGACUUCAAAAGCG